RNAcentral lists this ribosomal RNA (223 nucleotides) under Lingulaulax polyedra. RNAcentral describes it as "Lingulodinium polyedra partial Bacterial large subunit ribosomal RNA". It matches the Rfam family "Bacterial large subunit ribosomal RNA", at positions 1526 to 1755 of the family's 2925-position model. Lineage: Eukaryota; Dinophyceae; Gonyaulacales; Lingulodiniaceae. The record is from RNAcentral.
UGAGGGAUAGGUAAAUCCGCCCUCGUACAUCAAGUUAGGGUGCUGACUCUUCGGAGGUAAUCAUCAGCGGGACGUCCAAGAAAAGCUUCUAAAGGUUGAAGCAACUGUAACCGUACUAAAACUGACACAGGUAGGCGAGAUGAGAAUUCUAAGGCGCUCGGGAGAACGGUGGUUAAGGAACUCUGCAAAAUGGCCCCGUAAGUUCGCGAUAAGGGGUGCCCCU